RNAcentral lists this unclassified non-coding RNA (183 nucleotides) under fungal sp. RNAcentral describes it as "partial internal transcribed spacer region". The stretch from base 1 to 46 matches the Rfam family "Eukaryotic small subunit ribosomal RNA", at positions 1786 to 1831 of the family's 1831-position model. Lineage: Eukaryota; Fungi. The record is from RNAcentral.
AAGUCGUAACAAGGUAACCGUAGGUGAACCUGCGGUUGGAUCAUUACCAAGUGUGGCUCUUUUGAGCCUUCACCCCUUGUGCACUGUGAUUGUUUCUGGGCUUCGGCCCAAAUUAUAAACCUAAAGAUUGCCUGAAGUGAAGUUGAAUUAAAACAAUUUUUGACAACGGAUCUCUUGGCUCUC